RNAcentral lists this transfer-messenger RNA (371 nucleotides) under Eggerthellaceae. Its description in RNAcentral is "D16-34 sp003612515 Standard tmRNA". It matches the Rfam family "transfer-messenger RNA". Rfam says of the family: Bacterial tmRNA, also known as 10Sa RNA or SsrA, is named for its dual tRNA and mRNA-like properties. Its role is to liberate the mRNA from a stalled ribosome. RNAcentral also lists the same sequence under 3 other names. Lineage: Bacteria; Bacillati; Actinomycetota; Coriobacteriia; Eggerthellales. The record is from RNAcentral.
GGGGGCGACUGGUUUCGACAUGGUAUGUUUGAAUUGAGGAGCAGGUCGUGGUCUCCUCGCCACGUUAAACAGGGGUAAAGUCAAUUUAAUUGGCAAAAAUAACACUCAGAGCGCUCCGGCGCUCGCCAUGGCUGCUUAAUUGCACCUGGCCGCCAACCUUGGGAAUUCUCCGACCCAAGCGCGGUGUCAUCUUAGGAGAAUGCAUCUAAACACGUUGUCAGUAUGGUUUAGAUAAAGAUUGAACUGACUCGGUGAGGUUUCGUUUGUCUUAUGGACCAAACCUUUCUUAAACUUUGACCAUAGACUAAGCUUGUAGGUGCCUCAAGGAAAAUAUAGUAUGGACCGGAGUUCGAUUCUCCGCGCCUCCACCA